RNAcentral lists this long non-coding RNA (1388 nucleotides) under Gallus gallus (chicken). Lineage: Eukaryota; Metazoa; Chordata; Aves; Galliformes; Phasianidae. The record is from RNAcentral.
AAGAAAAUGAACCACACAUCGUGUGCAAUGUAGUGUUAUAUGCAUAUGCAUUAUGAUGGAGUCUUUAAUUACAUACUCUCAUCUUGUUUCCCACAGGAUCCCUGCCUCAUUCAGUACGCAGGACAGACACAUGGGAGAGAUUUAAGAGUGCAUAGGCAACCACCAAUUUAGCAGUUCCUGACUUGGCUUUUUUAAUCUAAUGCGGCGCUUCUAACUGUAUGUUUUUUUCUUCUCAUGUUCUUUUUUCAUUCUUAAUGUUACUGAUAUUUUCUAAAGAAAAAAUAAGAUAAAAAGACAAUGAGAUGCAGCUAUUAAUUAGAACAGAAAACAACACAUAGUUAAUUCUCCAAGCCUCAGCGUACCUUUGCCACUCUACUUAUACAUAAUCCCAAAGUCUGUGAUUUCAGGAAAAAAACAGCAGGUGUUUUUCCUACCUAGUCUACUCUGCCUAAAAGCUGGAGGAUUCAACUGCAGAUCUGUGAAGGAGGAGGAUUCAGGAACACUGCUAGUAGAUGCUUGGAAGUAUAAGAUAAAGAAGAUAAAGAAGAGCGCAGAACAAAAAUAGACUGCAUGUUCUUUCUUGUUUUCUGCAUACCAACAUGGUUCCAAUUCUUUUUUGAAAAAGAAAAUUUGUAUUUUAUAGCAGGUUCAGCAGUUAAAUUUUGUCUUUUUUUACAAAUACCUCCAAUAACAGUUUAUAUUGACUGCAAUAAACAUGUGUAAAUGAAAGCAGUCAUAGCUUUAUUUAACUGAAGUAAUAUUAAGACAUUGAAACUUUGUUGACAGAAACCCUUUUAGUGUCAUUAAGUCUGCUGCUAAUUUCUGAAGGUAAAAGUUUCCUCACAGAGGCUGCUAUGGGCAGUAGUUUCAUACAAAAAUGGGCACAGAUUCUGGGUUGUCUUUGCAAAUGGUUUCCUACAGUAGUAGAUUAACUCCCUAUGGACUAACAGAUGGAAGGUAAUUUGAAUGUUGCCUCUGAAAUCUGAACCCAGGCUGAAGAGGGAGUCCGAACCCCAAUUUUUAUUUAUUUAUUUUUUAAACUUCAGAUCAUCUGAUCCUAUAUAAAUGCAUUCUAGUAUGGAAAACAGCCCUGCUAAAUGAAUUUCAGACUAAACUUGAAAAUGCUUGAAAAGCUUUAAAGCUUUUAACCUUGAAUCCUAUUGUAGUUUGAAUGUUUUUUGUUGUUUAUUUGGGGAUUUUUUUUAUAUAUAUUUUUGAUAGGUAGGUAAGGAGGGUAUCAAAGUUUUUCCAUUCAGCUAUGCAUCUUUGAUCUCUGCUUCUAUUACAGGGUGAUUCUUCUGCUUGUUCUAGCAGCAGUAUCCCUAGUAUUAGGAAAAAACUUCACUGUGCAUGUUCCUCCCUGUAGACAAUGAAUAAAGUUCGUGUUC